Molecule: ribosomal RNA, 169 nt
Filed under: Klebsiella pneumoniae
Lineage: Bacteria; Pseudomonadati; Pseudomonadota; Gammaproteobacteria; Enterobacterales; Enterobacteriaceae
Description: Large Subunit Ribosomal RNA; lsuRNA; LSU rRNA
Rfam family: Bacterial large subunit ribosomal RNA (bases 1-149)
Source: RNAcentral
UAAGCACGAAACUUGCCCCGAGAUGAGUUCUCCCUGAGACUUUAAGUCUCCUGAAGGAACGUUAAAGACGAUGACGUUGAUAGGCCGGGUGUGUAAGCGCAGCGAUGCGUUGAGCUAACCGGUACUAAUGAACCGUGAGGCUUAACCUUACAACGCCGAAGAUGUUUUG